CAGCAGCCGCGGUAAAACGUAGGUCCCGAGCGUUGUCCGGAUUUAUUGGGCGUAAAGCGAGCGCAGGCGGUUAGAUAAGUCUGAAGUUAAAGGCUGUGGCUUAACCAUAGUACGCUUUGGAAACUGUUUAACUUGAGUGCAGAAGGGGAGAGUGGAAUUCCAUGUGUAGCGGUGAAAUGCGUAGAUAUAUGGAGGAACACCGGUGGCGAAAGCGGCUCUCUGGCUUGUAACUGACGCUGAGGCUCGAAAGCGUGGGGCGCAAACAGGAUUAGAUACCCGAGUAGUCCCUGUCUCUUAUACA
This 301-nucleotide ribosomal RNA is filed under the name uncultured bacterium. RNAcentral's name for it is "partial 16S ribosomal RNA". It matches the Rfam family "Bacterial small subunit ribosomal RNA", at positions 509 to 808 of the family's 1533-position model. The record is from RNAcentral.